GUUUAUUUUGCUGUGGUUGCUAACAUUAAAAACUGACAAAAUAAUCUCCCCUACCAGGCAACACGACUCACACUGACAAUGGAGGAACCACAGCCACAAAGGUUUUCUGGGCACAGAAAGGAGGAAAAGAGGACUCCCCCCUUCUAUCAGACCCCCUACUUCGUGCGGUCUGAUGACAGGGAUGAUUUGAUGAUGGUUGAUGCAGUGGAGCACAACCCCCCAGUCAGCAGACGAAGCAUCGUCCUCUACUACACUUUACUCUUUCUAAAAGUGGUGCUGUGGAUAAUCUUUGCUUGGAUCUUGUCACACCUCCACAUGGGAGCUCCAUGUUUUCUCCUGCUUCUGACCUCCUGGUUGUAUUCAGGGCCGAUGUACAAAGCUCUGAAGUGGGCUAAGAGGCGUCUGCGGGGGCCGGUCGCAUAAAC
Molecule: long non-coding RNA, 425 nt
Organism: Morone saxatilis (striped sea-bass)
Lineage: Eukaryota; Metazoa; Chordata; Actinopteri; Moronidae
Exons: 3
Source: RefSeq, a predicted model, not a curated record